GGAAAGGCGCGCGAUACAGGGUGACAGCCCCGUACACAAAAAUGCACAUGCUGUGAGCUCGAUGAGUAGGGCGGGACACGUGGUAUCCUGUCUGAAUAUGGGGGGACCAUCCUCCAAGGCUAAAUACUCCUGACUGACCGAUAGUGAACCAGUACCGUGAGGGAAAGGCGAAAAGAACCCCGGCGAGGGGAGUGAAAAAGAACCUGAAACCGUGUACGUACAAGCAGUGGGAGCACGCUUAGGCGUGUGACUGCGUACCUUUUGUAUAAUGGGUCAGCGACUUAUAUUCUGUAGCAAGGUUAACCGAAUAGGGGAGCCGAAGGGAAACCGAGUCUUAACUGGGCGUUAAGUUGCAGGGUAUAGACCCGAAACCCGGUGAUCUAGCCAUGGGCAGGUUGAAGGUUGGGUAACACUAACUGGAGGACCGAACCGACUAAUGUUGAAAAAUUAGCGGAUGACUUGUGGCUGGGGGUGAAAGGCCAAUCAAACCGGGAGAUAGCUGGUUCUCCCCGAAAGCUAUUUAGGUAGCGCCUCGUGAAUUCAUCUCCGGGGGUAGAGCACUGUUUCGGCAAGGGGGUCAUCCCGACUUACCAACCCGAUGCAAACUGCGAAUACCGGAGAAUGUUAUCACGGGAGACACACGGCGGGUGCUAACGUCCGUCGUGAAGAGGGAAACAACCCAGACCGCCAGCUAAGGUCCCAAAGUCAUGGUUAAGUGGGAAACGAUGUGGGAAGGCCCAGACAGCCAGGAUGUUGGCUUAGAAGCAGCCAUCAUUUAAAGAAAGCGUAAUAGCUCACUGGUCGAGUCGGCCUGCGCGGAAGAUGUAACGGGGCUAAACCAUGCACCGAAGCUGCGGCAGCGACGCUGAUG
This 871-nucleotide ribosomal RNA is filed under the name Escherichia coli. RNAcentral describes it as "partial 23S ribosomal RNA". It matches the Rfam family "Bacterial large subunit ribosomal RNA", at positions 344 to 1220 of the family's 2925-position model. Lineage: Bacteria; Pseudomonadati; Pseudomonadota; Gammaproteobacteria; Enterobacterales; Enterobacteriaceae. The record is from RNAcentral.